UACGUAGGGGGCAAGCGUUAUCCGGAAUCAUUGGGCGUAAAGGGUGCGUAGGCGGCCCUAUGGGUCAGAGGUUAAAGGCUACGGCUCAACCGUAGUAAGCCUUUGAAACUGUAGGGCUUGAGUGCAGGAGAGGAGAGUGGAAUUCCUAGUGUAGCGGUGAAAUGCGUAGAUAUUAGGAGGAACACCAGUGGCGAAGGCGACUCUCUGGACUGCAACUGACGCUGAGGCACGAAAGCGUGGGUAGCGAACAGGAUUAGAUACCCUGGUAGU
RNAcentral lists this ribosomal RNA (270 nucleotides) under uncultured prokaryote. RNAcentral describes it as "partial 16S ribosomal RNA". It matches the Rfam family "Bacterial small subunit ribosomal RNA", at positions 524 to 794 of the family's 1533-position model. The record is from RNAcentral.